Molecule: ribosomal RNA, 498 nt
Filed under: uncultured bacterium
Lineage: Bacteria
Description: partial 16S ribosomal RNA
Rfam family: Bacterial small subunit ribosomal RNA
Source: RNAcentral
AUUGAACGCUGGCGGCAUGCCUUACACAUGCAAGUCGAACGGUAACGCGGGGCAACCUGGCGACGAGUGGCGAACGGGUGAGUAAUGUAUCGGAACGUGCCCCGUUGUGGGGGAUAACUGCUCGAAAGAGCAGCUAAUACCGCAUACGACAUGAGGGUGAAAGCGGGGGAUCGCCAGACCUCGCGCAAUAGGAGCGGCCGAUAUCAGAUUAGGUAGUUGGUGAGGUAAAGGCUCACCAAGCCGACGAUCUGUAGCUGGUCUGAGAGGACGACCAGCCACACUGGGACUGAGACACGGCCCAGACUCCUACGGGAGGCAGCAGUGGGGAAUUUUGGACAAUGGACGCAAGUCUGAUCCAGCCAUGCCGCGUGCGGGAAGAAGGCCUUCGGGUUGUAAACCGCUUUUGUCAGGGAAGAAACGCUCUGGGUUAAUACCUCGGGGUAAUGACGGUACCUGAAGAAUAAGCACCGGCUAACUACGUGCCAGCCGCCGCGGUAA